Molecule: ribosomal RNA, 514 nt
Filed under: uncultured bacterium
Lineage: Bacteria
Description: bacterial SSU rRNA
Rfam family: Bacterial small subunit ribosomal RNA
Source: RNAcentral
UUCUGGCUCAGGAUGAACGCUAGCUACAGGCUUAACACAUGCAAGUCGAGGGGCAUCAUGUUGGUUGCUUGCAACCAAUGAUGGCGACCGGCGCACGGGUGAGUAACGCGUAUCCAACCUUCCCCUUAGUAGAGGAUAGCCCGGCGAAAGUCGGAUUAAUACUCUAUGUUCUUCAAUGCGGACAUCUAAGUUGAAGCAAAGAUUUAUCGCUAAGGGAUGGGGAUGCGUCUGAUUAGGUUGCAGGCGGGGUAACGGCCCACCUGGCCUACGAUCAGUAGGGGUUCUGAGAGGAAGGUCCCCCACACUGGUACUGAGACACGGACCAGACUCCUACGGGAGGCAGCAGUGAGGAAUAUUGGUCAAUGGGCGCGAGCCUGAACCAGCCAAGUAGCGUGCAGGAACCGACUGCCCUAUGGGUUGUAAACUGCUUUUAUCAGGGAAUAAAGUGAGGCACGCGUGCCUUUUUGUAUGUACCUGAUGGAUAAGGACCGGCUAAUUCCGUGCCAGCAGCUGC